GAGAGCGCUGAGGCGCCAGGAGAGAGCGCUGAGCGCCAAGCGCUGAGGCGUGGAGACUCGAGGUGGCGGCCGAGAGUAGGAAGCAAAACAACGGGACGGGACUGACUCGGGGCAACAACGACUACCCAUUGUGGGGAAAGACGGAAUCUCCCUCUGUCGCCCAGCUUGGAGCUCACUGCAACCUCUGCCUCCUGGGUUCAAGCAAUUUUCCUGGCUCAGCCUCCAGAGUAGCUGGGAUUACAGGUGCCUGCCACCAUGCCCAGAAAAUUUUUGUAUUUUUAGUAGAGAUGGGGUUUUGCCAUGGUGAACAGAGUGGCCUCGAACUCCUGACCUCAGGUGAUCAGCCAGUCUUGGUCUCCCAAAGUUCUGGCAUUACAGGCAUGAGCCAUCUCGCCUGGCCUCUUCCUAAUUUUUAAUACUAAAUAUCUCAUGGGGAUUGAGAAUAAAGCAAAUAUUUCCAAAGUGGCAAUGCCCCUGUUGUAGAGCAUAAAGGUCUUGGUGGAAAUUUUGAGUCUCACAGACCUGGGUUUUCAUAGAGUUUUACUCACUUUACACAUUACAGACCCUUUGACAGGGCAUUCUCUCCCUGCCUCUAGUACUGCCUCAUCAUAUUGUUUCUUGGAUGUUUUUAAUAUAACACAGCCAGUAACAGGCGCUCCAUGUAAUGACGCUAUGCAUGUGGUCUGUGAGCCGGGAGGUCAGUGUGUGUCAUCCUUGGGCGCUCCACACCCCUCCCCAAACCCACGUAGAUUCAGUGUGCUCAACCAGAAAGACGUAAUCAGAGAGAAUAGCCUGGCAUUUCUUGGAUUUGGUACCUAUCUUUUCAGUUCAAUAGAAUGGAGUUAAAAUAAAAAAAAAAAAAAAGAAACCUUUCUGAGCUCCUACUAUAUGACUGAAUAUACAGAAAUGAAGAAAUAAAUAGACUCAGUUUUUCAAUAACUUGCAGACUAAAGAGAAAACAGAAGCCCCAGCCACCUGGGGGCGGGGGAGGGGGGGCCUGACGUUAGAAAACACUAGGCCAGGUCUGCACAAUGCAGCAGAAGAGUCCGACCUCAGGGCGGUGCACCUUCUUGACCUGAGAUGAGACUAAGGCUAGAACGUUCAGAGAUGGAACAGCCCGAGCCAAGUGAUCGUGUGAACGGUUCCAUGACCCUGAAGAACGAAGUGGGUGCGGCAGGACAGGAGACUGGUCAGGCAGAGGCCAGGUGAGGAGGAAUCUCGUCUGUUGCCCUGAGACCUGGUGGACAAGGUGGAACCACUGAAAGGCACCUCCCGUCAGGCACACACAUUAAGGACUCGUGACUGAAGGAUGUUGGUUUGCAUAAAGCUAAAAAAGCCCUUAUCACAAAAUGUGUACAUGCAAUGCCUGGUAGGCAUAAUGAAUGUUGUGGAAACUGUUCUCAGUCAAUUUCUCUAAGUCUUAGAGAGAGCAAUGGAUUAUUCCUGUCUGUAUUUUACAUUAUCACAAUUUUUGUAUAGACAAAGCCAGUAUCUUUAGCUUGUCUGUCUCCCUCAUCUGCGCAUACGUACGGAGCAUCGUCACCACCUGUUGGAAUGACCUGAAGUGCAACAAAACUCCAUACAGAAAAACCAGAUCUAUAACAGUGAGGCCAACAAGUUCCAUUCUUA
Molecule: long non-coding RNA, 1629 nt
Filed under: Homo sapiens (human)
Lineage: Eukaryota; Metazoa; Chordata; Mammalia; Primates; Hominidae
Description: HSALNT0344661
Source: RNAcentral